RNAcentral lists this ribosomal RNA (1489 nucleotides) under Lactiplantibacillus argentoratensis. Its description in RNAcentral is "bacterial SSU rRNA". It matches the Rfam family "Bacterial small subunit ribosomal RNA". The record is from RNAcentral. Lineage: Bacteria; Bacillati; Bacillota; Bacilli; Lactobacillales; Lactobacillaceae.
GACGAACGCUGGCGGCGUGCCUAAUACAUGCAAGUCGAACGAACUCUGGUAUUGAUUGGUGCUUACAUCAUGAUUUACAUUUGAGUGAGUGGCGAACUGGUGAGUAACACGUGGGAAACCUGCCCAGAAGCGGGGGAUAACACCUGGAAACAGAUGCUAAUACCGCAUAACAACUUGGACCGCAUGGUCCGAGCUUGAAAGAUGGCUUCGGCUAUCACUUUUGGAUGGUCCCGCGGCGUAUUAGCUAGAUGGUGGGGUAACGGCUCACCAUGGCAAUGAUACGUAGCCGACCUGAGAGGGUAAUCGGCCACAUUGGGACUGAGACACGGCCCAAACUCCUACGGGAGGCAGCAGUAGGGAAUCUUCCACAAUGGACGAAAGUCUGAUGGAGCAACGCCGCGUGAGUGAAGAAGGGUUUCGGCUCGUAAAACUCUGUUGUUAAAGAAGAACAUAUCUGAGAGUAACUGUUCAGGUAUUGACGGUAUUUAACCGGAAAGCCACGGCUAACUACGUGCCAGCAGCCGCGGUAAUACGUAGGUGGCAAGCGUUGUCCGGAUUUAUUGGGCGUAAAGCGAGCGCAGGCGGUUUUUUAAGUCUGAUGUGAAAGCCUUCGGCUCAACCGAAGAAGUGCAUCGGAAACUGGGAAACUUGAGUGCAGAAGAGGACAGUGGAACUCCAUGUGUAGCGGUGAAAUGCGUAGAUAUAUGGAAGAACACCAGUGGCGAAGGCGGCUGUCUGGUCUGUAACUGACGCUGAGGCUCGAAAGUAUGGGUGGCAAACAGGAUUAGGUACCCUGGUAGUCCAUACCGUAAACGAUGAAUGCUAAGUGUUGGAGGGUUUCCGCCCUUCAGUGCUGCAGCUAACGCAUUAAGCAUUCCGCCUGGGGAGUACGGCCGCAAGGCUGAAACUCAAAGGAAUUGACGGGGGCCCGCACAAGCGGUGGAGCAUGUGGUUUAAUUCGAAGCUACGCGAAGAACCUUACCAGGUCUUGACAUACUAUGCAAAUCUAAGAGAUUAGACGUUCCCUUCGGGGACAUGGAUACAGGUGGUGCAUGGUUGUCGUCAGCUCGUGUCGUGAGAUGUUGGGUUAAGUCCCGCAACGAGCGCAACCCUUAUUAUCAGUUGCCAGCAUUAAGUUGGGCACUCUGGUGAGACUGCCGGUGACAAACCGGAGGAAGGUGGGGAUGACGUCAAAUCAUCAUGCCCCUUAUGACCUGGGCUACACACGUGCUACAAUGGAUGGUACAACGAGUUGCGAACUCGCGAGAGUAAGCUAAUCUCUUAAAGCCAUUCUCAGUUCGGAUUGUAGGCUGCAACUCGCCUACAUGAAGUCGGAAUCGCUAGUAAUCGCGGAUCAGCAUGCCGCGGUGAAUACGUUCCCGGGCCUUGUACACACCGCCCGUCACACCAUGAGAGUUUGUAACACCCAAAGUCGGUGGGGUAACCUUUUAGGAACCAGCCGCCUAAGGUGGGACAGAUGAUUAGGGUG